Non-coding RNA from Taeniopygia guttata (zebra finch), 7013 nucleotides. The record is from RefSeq and is a predicted model, not a curated record. Lineage: Eukaryota; Metazoa; Chordata; Aves; Passeriformes; Estrildidae.
GUGGGGGGGGAGGGAAGGGGCACCGCGGCCGCGCAGUCACGGCGACCCCGCACCCGCGGGGACAGCGCGGAGAGGGACGCGGGACACGCGGGGACAGCGCGGGCGACGCGGGGACAGCCGCGCCGCGCGGGGACAGCGCUGCGGGGGAUGCGGACGCGGCCGGGCGCGGCGGGGAUGAUGCGGGGCGGUGCGGGAGGGGUGCGGGUUGAUGGCAGCGCAUCGCCCGGCAAAUGGUGCCCGGAGCGGCGGCGGGGGGGAGCCCGCCCGGGGAGCCGCGGGGCUAAAAUUAGCCAAGUGCAGAGAGUUUAGGGGAAACAACAAUGAAAAAGUGCAUCGGGGGCAGCGGGUUCCCGGUGUCCGGGGCGGUCCGGGAGCGCCUGGAACGGGAUUUCUUCAGCGCGGACAGGCGCUCCCUGCCAGGGCCGGUGCCGCCGGCCGCUGCCGAGGGGAGAAGGAUCGCACGGAGGUUGGAAAAUCAGAUCCCAGCCCCGCGCAGGAUAGCCAUAGAAACGGAGAUUAAAAGGAUGAAAUAACUUAUUUUGUUCUAAACAAUGAUGCUGCUAUAAAUACGAACAUUUUCCUUGUUCCCUUCCUGAAAAGCACAGAACAUUUUAGCAGGCUCGUCUCCUAACAAAACAAACCAGCCUGCAGAUGCCUUGCACCCCUCGAAAUUAUUCCGUUUUUACUGGGAAAUGGGUAAACCCACGGUCUGUACCUGUCCCCUCUGGAAUCAAUAAGCUGCACAAUAUUUUUCCAAAUACAGCUACUUUCGCUGUUUUGCACUUCAUCUGUAAAAGGAAAAUAUCUCUUCCCCCCCCAAGUGAGCGAUUGUAGAUUUUUUCUCAAAUUGUAUUUGAUCACCGAGUGAAUUUAGUGCUCGCUCAAGUCCGUGGGCUGACUGCUUGGAAAUGGCUCUGCCUGUCUUUGGAGAAGUUAGGCAGAGACAGCAGCAGAGCAAUUGCCACAGAUUAUUUCCCAAUCUGCUGCUGGCCUCCUUUGGAAGAGCACCAUCAUUUCAGCCUCCAUUUCCACUUUUUGCUGAGGCUGCUGCUUACAAAGAUACUAAUUGCGAUGGCGGGUUUUAUGUUAAUGGGUUCCACGUAAUGAUCAGCCCGACGACUACAGACCUUCAGACUGUUGGUUGGCUGUGCUGGGAAUAAAACUAAUGGCAUUUGGUUAUGAAAAUUCAGACCUCUACAUGGUGAUCUAAACUGGGGGCCCAAUGAGACCGAAAUCCAAGUCUCCAUGCGACUGCCGUGGGGCUGGACCCAGGGAUGCCCUUGGAGAAGGAAAAUUCCUUCUCCCCCAGAACUGCUAUGCUUUGAGGGAGGGUAGUUUCUUGCUGGGAUGAUGCUGGGAGAGGAUUGGGGUGCCUGGCUGGGGUCCCCCCUGGUCUGGGGAGAGGGUGUGGGGUGCUCAGAGCGACAGCCGGGGAUGGAGCAGGGAUGGAGCUGCACGAGCCUCCAAAUUCUGACUAACGCCGUAACCGGUUUGGUAGCUCUAAAAUAGGAUUUUAAUCCUGGGAAGCAUCAUUUCACAUUCCAGUGAUCUAAUCAAAAUCCUUUCCUCUAAUCUCUCCAUGGUCCCCCCUUUCUAGAUGAAAGAGGCUGGAGUUCCUGUCUUCACCCUUUCUCCGCUGCCUCCCUGUUCUACCAGUCUGUUCUGUGUCCAGGCAACUGCAAAAAGACAUUUCAAAGGCUCCUGCCGUGCCAUGUAGAUGUUUUCUCUUGUUAGUUUGGACUGCAGGAUCAAGUCCCUCGUUUGCCAUUUUGUGUGGCAGCAAGCCCAAGGAAAUCUUGCUUGACAGCUCUGUUUUCUCAAAGUGCUGCAUUUCUUCGGGCUGGAUUCUGCAAAGAUCCUGCAGGCUACAGAGCUCCUUGGAGCAAGCCAUAAUGUGCUUUGUGUCCCUGCUGAAAUGUACCUGUGUACAGUGGGAGAGGGAGCUUGGAAAACUGGGUGCACCCUGCCAAGAAGAUGGUUAGAAUAAAGUUUUCUUGGGUUAUUAUGUUUUGAGGAAUCAUUCUCAUCUGUUCGUUUGAGGAAGGUUUUCCUAAAGUUAGAUUUGAUCUGUGUAAAUGCUAACUUCUUUCAAUGGGCACUAAUAGAGUACUGAAAAAAAGAAGCACAGUGGAUUUGAAGUUUAAAUCUCAAAUGGUGGCAGCAGCUAGUACUGCUUCGUACAUCCAAAAUAAUUUUUUAAGUAUGUUGUACAGAUUUCUUUUGGGGAAUUGGGUGAAAAUUACAUUAAAAUUUGUUGCCUCUUAAUGUUGUAAGAUCUCACUGAUACAGCUCUUUAAUGAACAUAUUUGCACUUUGGACCAUCACAGAAAAUUGUGAUUCUUCAUGUCAUCAUCUGGAAUACUGAGGAAAAUGGAUCUUUAUUCCAAAGGUCCCAAACUGGUUGGGAGCAGUUCCUUGGCACAGCUGCUCCCCUGGGCAUCAGUCUGCAUUCCUGAGGCUGUUUUGGACAAUGAGUCCAGUAUUGAUCACUGGACUUGGGCUUCUCUUUGCCUUAAUGAACUUGGUUGAUUUUCUUGGCCAGGACACUGAAAGAUGAGGUGCUGCUUCUCCCACCACCUGCAACUUUUGGAUCUCUUCUCCAAGAAUUCUUGUGGGUUUUUCCUUCCAUUUUCAUGUAAACGGACUCUCAAAUUUCUAUCAGUGCCCCUGAAAGAGUUCCUCAAGAGCCUUCUCUGUACCCUGUCUGCUCCUUGUCCAGCCCCUUCCCUCCUCACUUCAUGGCUCUCAUCUUUGCAUUUUAUUCAGCUAAUUCUUGUCCCUGGCUGCCUGUGCCCACUGGAAAGGAACUCCUCAUUCCAAAAUCCCAGCCCUCUCCACUGUGGAAGUGCCCUUCUGUUCACCUUAAACUGGAUUUGGGAUAUCCUUUACUGCUCUGUGCCAUUGCACAGCAAGAUUCCACAGGAAUGGCAGGAAACAGAGACAGCCAAACAGAUAAUUUAUGUUCCUGGGAGAUUUAGUCCAAAUUAAGAUCAAAACUCAUAUAUGUCUUCCAAAUCACAGAGUAUUUGUCCCCAAUUAUUGUCAAUGACUCUAAUUCUGCUUGAUUUAUAUCUCUGGUAGUAGCCAGAGGUUUUGCAGCACAUAAAUUGCCUGAGGGUUUUGCCAGUGAUGUGGACACUGUGACAUGUAGAAGCUCAGGAAAGCCCCUGAGCAGAAAAUGGUUGGAAACAGGUAAAAUAUCAGGGAGAAGUAUCCCCCAUGUCUGCACACAAUUACCUGGGUGUCCAGCUGUGGUCACUCAGCUGGAUGGACCCUUGUUUUCUCAACCUACAUGGCAAUUCCCACAUUCUUUGAUAAACUGGGAAAGUUCUAGCAGAAAUCAUAUAGAUGGCAGCACACAUGAUCCAAGCACAAACCCCUGUGAUUUCUGUGAGCACUGCACAGCCACAGAUACACUCUGGCAGGUGGAAGAGAAGAAAGCAAUCCUCACAGAGGGCAGGGAAAGCAGCCACAAUUUAAAGCAAAGUAAAUUUGUGUGGUGUGGUUGCUUGCUGGUUAACUCUGGAGAGAUUUAUGAAGAUCCAGCAUAACCCACAACAGAUCUUCCUUGAGGAUUUGUGGGUUAAGCCACACCAACACAAACAUGGGAUGGCACUGCAUGUGCAGCAGGAGUUACUGAAGACCCCAAAAGAGCUCCCACAAUAUUUCUCUCAAAUAGCUGUUUUCUCACUGAAUGUUCUCACUGAGUCCAGAUGCAUGGUGGUAUUUUGGCCAACAUCUGGAACAGCAAAAAGAAUUAGAGGAGGAAAGGAUCUAUUGGGUUAUGCAUUCCCUGGAGCCAGGGUGAGUAAAUUGGAUACUGAAUUUCUCUCAGGGUAUGGUUCACCCUGGUUUUAAUCCUUGCCUUCUCAUCCUAUAUCCCAUGUACAGGAUGGUACCAGGAUUUUGUUGGAUGGGAGGCACAUCCAGUCUUUUCUGGCCUCAUCCUCCAUGCAGCACUCUACUCUCAGACUUAGGCUGGUCUUGAAUAGGGAAUUUAUCUUUUCUACCCUCUGAAGCAAUCAGCAGACAAGUUAGUAGGUUACGUUCCCAGGAAAAAUUCCCACCUUUUUUCUCACUUGAAAACUUCCAUGUUUUUUUACCUUUUACUGGUUUCUCUUAGUGGUUUGGGGGUUGGGUUUUGCACAUCUUUUUUUUUUUUUUUUUUUUUUUUUUUUUUUUUUUUUUGUGGUAUUUAACUUUUGCUAUUCCUAUCAUGAACCCUCACCCACUUCAUGCAGCCACUUCCUCACUUCAGGUUCUUGCUGUUCCCCUCUCCCUCCCUGCUCUGGUCCAUUUUGACUGUGCUUUCUCUUCCAGUAACCCUGUCCCAGCCAGGUAUUUCUCCCAGUUUGUGCUGAAUCUUCAGCUCCAAUAUUCUACAUAUUACUUUAGAAUAAGGAUCUGAAGCCUCCAUUAUUAGUUUAAAUGCCUUUUUGUGUUCCGAACCUCACCUGGGUCAUUCUCUUUGUUUGUGCCUCUCUCCCAGUGGCAGCAGAGCUGGUUUAGUGCUGGGGACAGCAGCUGUGGCUGGCUGCUGGCACAGGGCUCUUCGUGACAUGAAAGGACUCCCUGCAUCCUCCCUCAGUUUCUCCAUUCUGCACAGACCAGUGGGCACUGCGAGAUCAAAAUCUCGUGGUGGCUGUGGGGCACCUCAAGGGUUGCUGGGCAAAGGAGGAGGAGGAGGAAAAGUACAAAUAAAGCAGCUCAGAGCUGCUCCCUCACCUCCAGUUCCCCUUUCCUUUCUUUCCACAGAAGUGGCUGAGUGCAGAGCUGAGCUACCCCGGCAAAGGAAAGAGAAGAAAGGUUUUUCUUUCACUUUCCAAACACAAAUACUUCACGUGGGACUUGAGAAGGGAACAUCCUUUUGCUCCUCUCCUCCAGCUGGGCUUUCUGGUCCCAUUGUCCCCCCACGGUGGUCAUGCCCCUCGGUCCCCCAUGUGCACCUGAAUUGUGAUCUGUGGUGGUUUGGGUGUCUGAGGUCCUCCAAUAAUGAGGGUGAGGUUUCAUUUGGGGAAGCACAUCUUUUCUUAGAAAUGUGAACACUGUGACUGACUUAGCACAACUGUGAUUUUCUGCAAACACAACUGUGUUUGGGGUGGUUGCAUGCGAAUGCUGGGGAAGGAGAAACAGUAAUUCUGAAUUAAUGCACAAAGGGAGAAAAUAGACACCCUUAGAGGAAGCCCUGAGUUCACUGCAGCUGCCAUACACUGGCAAAACUGAUGCUGUGUCCCAGGGGAAGCAUUUCAGUGUGGAGAACCUCGUGUUUGAAGAGAGCAUACCUGUGCCUGUUGUGACACACGAGUGAGCCAAAGUGCUUGGGGGAGCACAUCAAUCCAUUCUUUCUUUAGUAACAUGUAUGCAAUAAAUUGGGUUUUUUCCCCCCUGGUGUUGCAUCAUUUCCUAUUUGGUGUCCAGAUGGUGACAGAUUACCAAACAGGGGGGAAAAAAAAAUCCAUGUAAUAUUUUGUAUCUAAACAUUACCUUCUUCUUUAGAAUAAAGAGAUCCAGUUUUAUUCUGGCCAUGAUUCUCCACAUUUAUGUGCUGGCCCUUGUCUGCAUCUGCUUGGCAUUAUCCUGGAUUGGGGCUUUAACCUGCUAUGAAUCCAGAGAAAUUAUACAGAAUUGAUGGGAUCAGUGUGAAUUUCCAGGGGUGUAGGCUAGUGCAGACUACAUCCUAUUAAUCUUGUUGUGUUCUUUCUGUAAAUAACAAGCUGGAUUCAGCCCAACAAGAGUAAAACAAAUUGGAAGCAUUCAUAAAGAGAAGUAAAUGACUUUAAGAUGUAAGAAUAAUGUAUUGGUGGGUUGUGUCCAAGAAUCCAGUUUUUAAAGGUACCAAAGCACACACAAAACUUUAGUUUAAUUUGUUCUUAAGUGGCUGCUGUGUGGGGCUGGCUGCUGAAGCAGGGCCAUGGGCAUAAGACCUGCUUUCAUGAAAGGAUUAUAUAAAAAAGCAAAAACUGCAAGAAGGAGAAAAAUGUUCAAGGGCAGCCAACCUGGAGGAAACAAAUAUAAUUUAGUUGUGUGAAGUGUUUAUAAAUGCAGUUUAUGAACAUGUAUGAAGGAGUAAUUUUUUACUUUUCAGAGUGCAAUUGUAACAGAAAAGAAACAGUUGCUUAUGUCCUUUUCAGGGAUUUUUAGAGAAUAAUUUGCAGUGUAGUAUUUUGACCUGCUUUUUCCUGUUUAACAGCUUGUUAUUCUGUUGGUUAUUUCAGAUUAGCUUUUUGUGAGUGCUCUUCUUUAUUUGUGAUUGAUAGGAAAAUAUUUACAUGGUUUAUCUAAAACUGGAAAUUGAUUUUAAAUUUUGUUCAAAGUUUCAGACUUCUACAUGCAUGGGCUACCAAAUUUGAUCUACCAGUCUCACUCCUUGGUUCUCUUGCAUCAUCAGAAUAAAUGUCAAAUGACACAGAAUGCCUGGAAUUGCAAUAAUGCAGUGAAACAGAUCUGACUAUCAAGCUUCAUAUAUAGAUUAGAUUAAUGCAUAAAUCUAAUUUGAUAUUUUACAUUACUGGCCUAAUAUUUUACAGAUGUAAUGCCAAGUUGUUAAGUAAACGAAAAUCACAGAGAGUCCAAUUCUGAAAGGAUUACUCAGGCAAAAAUCCCUGCAGUCAGAGGGAGUAUUGCCUAAACGAAGUCUGCAAAAUUAGAACUAGAGCCAUAUUCCCCAAACAGACAAGCAGAUUUAUCUGUGAGAUCUGCCCAGGAGUUGAAUUCUUGUAACAAUGAAAGAUAUAUAGGGAAAACGAGCAAGUAGGUAACCUGAAAUAUAAGGAGAGACUGAUAAGAUCUGAGCAAGCACUUGUGUGGUUGGUGAUGUCAACAGGAGCCCAAGCUGUUUUAAUAAACUUGUUCAUAGUUGUCCUAUAGUGUGUUUUAUAUCCUGAAGUACAUAGAUCAUGUAAGAGUUUAACAAGAAGAGGAUUCAUAUUAAAUAUGCACAUAAAAUACCUCCAUGAAAUAUGUGAAAUACUUUUCGUUUUUUAUAUGAUUCCAAUAAAACAUCUAUCACAAAA